UGCUCGCGCACCCAACUACAGACCACCUAUCCUUCUCAGUUGCUUCACGAGCAGAUUACUGCUUGUUGACUGGUGCUGGGCUUGUGUUGCGUACCCAAAUAGAAGGAAUUGACUCGGUAUAGUUCACAUGUUGUUCGCGGCAUCUCUUUAAAUGGGGAAGUCGUGAACACUCAAGCUGACACUUGUGAUCCUUGCGUCUAGGCACUAAUACUGCCUUGCUCGCUAAGGUGAAUAAGCUGCUGGCUGAACUCUUGGAUGCGGAAAGAUUAUGGACGGUGACUCGAAGCAAUUCUGUCCCGCCAAAGCAUUGUCCUCGGGCAAAAGAUAACGGUCAAGACCUCGUCUGUUCUUUCUUAUCUAGGGUUUCGGGAAAUAGUUGGACUGGCUCUCAAUUA
RNAcentral lists this unclassified non-coding RNA (395 nucleotides) under Sisymbrium erysimoides. RNAcentral describes it as "partial contains external transcribed spacer and 18S ribosomal RNA". Lineage: Eukaryota; Viridiplantae; Streptophyta; Magnoliopsida; Brassicales; Brassicaceae. The record is from RNAcentral.